UACGUAGGGCGCAAGCGUUGUCCGGAAUUACUGGGCGUAAAGGGCUCGUAGGCGGCCAACUAAGUCAGACGUGAAAUCCCUCGGCUUAACCGGGGAACUGCGUCUGAUACUGGAUGGCUUGAGUUCGGGAGAGGGAUGCGGAAUUCCAGGUGUAGCGGUGAAAUGCGUAGAUAUCUGGAGGAACACCGGUGGCGAAGGCGGCAUCCUGGACCGACACUGACGCUGAGGAGCGAAAGCCAGGGGAGCAAACGGG
RNAcentral lists this ribosomal RNA (253 nucleotides) under uncultured bacterium. RNAcentral's name for it is "partial 16S ribosomal RNA". It matches the Rfam family "Bacterial small subunit ribosomal RNA", at positions 524 to 776 of the family's 1533-position model. The record is from RNAcentral.